This 510-nucleotide long non-coding RNA is filed under the name Microcebus murinus (gray mouse lemur). RNAcentral describes it as "lncRNA (ENSMICG00000048828.1)". Lineage: Eukaryota; Metazoa; Chordata; Mammalia; Primates; Cheirogaleidae. The record is from RNAcentral.
CCCACUCGCCUGAGGGCAGGCGUCCACAUUUCUCCAGGGCUGAGCUGGAGACACUUGCUCUGUGGUGCAUGGGCUGGACCAUGAAGUAUGAUCUCGGUGCCUUCUCCCUCAAGGAUUCCUCUUGGAAGGGCGUCCACCCAGACUUUGUAAAUUCUCAGACCUCCCAGUGGAGUGUGCAUAGGGAUCCCAAGCGACUGACUCACCUCCUAGGCUCAGCCGUGGACUCUGGGCUUCUCAGCAAAGACACGUGGCCAUCGGGAGACAAGUCCGGAGCCCUGUGGACAGGUGGCUGGCAUGCACUUUGCCCGGGGGGCCAGGCCCUCCUGCGCGGCUCCAGUGUCCUGAGCCCCGCCGAUACUGCAGAUGCCUAGACACCCGGCAAAGAAACCAGCCCCGGGACCCAGGGAAGAAGCGGAGCGAGCAGUUUCGGGGCCAGCAGGCGAUAGUUAAAGAGAGGGCAGCGGCUAGGUGAGAACAGUGACCGAAUGCAACAUGGUAAUAAUAGCUGGG